Molecule: long non-coding RNA, 1221 nt
Filed under: Gadus morhua (Atlantic cod)
Lineage: Eukaryota; Metazoa; Chordata; Actinopteri; Gadiformes; Gadidae
Description: lncRNA (ENSGMOG00000024341.1)
Source: RNAcentral
AUGUGCCUGUACACCGGCGGCGCCCGGCGGGCCUCCGACGGCGCCUGCUCCCCUCUGGCCUCGCCCAGGAGGAGGCGCCCCGGGCUGCCCGAGGUGGUGGGCAUCGUCUUGGAGAACGCCAAGAUCAGAGCUCCCAAGAAACUGGAUUUCUUGGAGCCGUCUCUGGAUGUCCAUCCACACAUGGACAAAGAGGAGGAGGAGGAGGAGGAGGAAGAAGAAGAGGAGCCUGUGCAGCAGAUCACUGGGACUGACGUACGGAAGCAGAAGAUAGGCAACACGGGGUGUCACAAAGGAGUGGGGACCGGCGAGCCAUUAGAUAAGGUCGAGUGCGAUCGGACUGGAGUGGAGUCAUCAGACCUUGACAAGAGCAGGUCGGUGAACUCAGUCAGCAUGUGGCCCGAAUCAGGGGAAACUGCUUCUCGAAGAAAGUGGCAGCGUAUUUGCAAAGAGGCGGAUCGCAACCGUGAUGCGACGGAACGAUCGCUUGGUGACGCAGCUGCAAAUUCCCCCCGGGGAAUCAGGGUCAGCCACGACAUCAUAUUCCCAGCGAUAGUUGAGAACUCACAACACCACGCCCUCGGCUGCUGUUCACCGAAAGACUACGGCGACGCAAACCAUUUACCUCAAGUCUUUUCGGGGAGGAAGACCAGUUCUGUGAGGACAUGUUUAGGGCCGUACCGAUCCAAUAAGACCUGUGAACCAUCACCAAGCAGAAGCAGAGGAUGGUCUACGAACUACUCCGAUGCUGAGAAGGUCUGUCGAUUGGAUUCGGCCGAUCCCCGUUUAAAUAAAUAUGCCAGUCGAGGAGACCUGACGUUAAGACAUCAACUGGUACCCGGCAGCAUUCACCCAUCGUUUUGCAACACGGUCACAGGCUGGGAAGAGGACCAUGUCAUAUCCUUAGCGGCACAAGGCCUCGAUCCCAGUUCAAAUUGUCCCAAGGAGGCUCUCCGCAGAGGGAAAGGGAAGCCACUCAGUCCAUUGAAACAUCCGAAAUUGAAGCACAUCUCAAAUAAAUUACACCAGGCGAACUCUUUUGAAAUCGAGGAGGUGAGCAGCGCUGGAGAAGAGGAUUUUGGACAGUCCGAAAGUACACAAAUAACUAUAACAAAAAGUCAGUGCAAAGCGGCGAUGUUGGAGCGUGGAGACAGCAUGCAGUCAGACAGCAGCGGCUUCGCGGAGGAGGAGGUCCGCUGCUCUUCAGAGAGGGGUGGGAGCUGA